UACGUAGGGUGCGAGCGUUAAUCGGAAUUACUGGGCGUAAAGCGUGCGCAGGCGGUCUGUUAAGACCGAUGUGAAAUCCCCGGGCUUAACCUGGGAACUGCAUUGGUGACUGGCAGGCUUUGAGUGUGGCAGAGGGAGGUAGAAUUCCACGUGUAGCAGUGAAAUGCGUAGAGAUGUGGAGGAAUACCGAUGGCGAAGGCAGCCUCCUGGGCCAACACUGACGCUCAUGCGCGAAAGCCAGGGGAGCGAACGGG
Molecule: ribosomal RNA, 254 nt
Filed under: uncultured bacterium
Lineage: Bacteria
Description: partial 16S ribosomal RNA
Rfam family: Bacterial small subunit ribosomal RNA
Source: RNAcentral